Long non-coding RNA from Papaver somniferum (opium poppy), 1049 nucleotides. RefSeq lists it as uncharacterized. The record is from RefSeq and is a predicted model, not a curated record. NCBI's taxonomy places the organism in Eukaryota, Viridiplantae, Streptophyta, Magnoliopsida, Ranunculales, Papaveraceae. The transcript is spliced from 2 exons.
GAUAGAAUUGUAACGUGUAUUGGGAUUAGUCCCUUUGCAACCCUUCGUCCAUUUCGGGAUUUUACUAGACACGUGUCAUAUUUUUGGUUAACAUAUAAACUGAGAAACAGAGAGUAAGGAAAAUUCGAUCUUCUUCCCCUUUCAUCCCUUUCCUGUAUUUUCUUUCUCUGAUGAUUUCUCAUUCCAUGAAAAACAAUUGAGGGGAUCACUUUCUUUCUCUCUUCUUUCAUUUUCGUCGGCAAUCUCAAAUUCAGGGAAUUUGACUGAAAUUAUGCCGGAGUGAAUUAUGUAGAGAUUUGAACACUUGAAGUUGUUGUUAAAGUCGGUAAUGGUUGGUUUUAAAAACGCAGUAGGAUGAUUCGCUCAUUGGUUUUCAGUUUGGUGAUAUCUGAAGUGAUGCAUAUCGAUUGGGUUGUGCUAUCGCACCUGAUUUGUGUUGGAACUCAGUAUCUCGAUACAGUUUCUCCCUUGAAUCCAAGAAUUUGUGAAUGCAUGCUACAGAUUGGAUAAUGUACUCCAUCCCAGUAGUAGUAGGAGAUAUGGCUGUGUGUUAGAUUUGAUCUUCAGGUAAGGAAGAGCUAUAAAAGAACCUGAAUACAACAAGGCAAAACAUACCUCUAAGCAUCAACAAAAUACUGCACACCAAGUUUUUGAGAAAAGUUCCGAAGGAAAUGUGAACUUGAGUCUUGAACUAUUGACUGAGCUGUUGUAAUUUUAGUGGAAGCACAAUGCAAGGAUAUUGCAUCUGCUUCAAAUUACUUGCAGCGGGUAUCGGUAACGGGUAGGAUGUGUCUAGAUUAUUCUUACACUUUUAAUUAGAUUCGUGAAUAUGUUAUUAGAUUUCUUGUUUGCUGGCACUAGUUGUUAUGCUAGUCUUACUCAUGUAUGGCGUCACCCUUUUUCGUUGUUUUUAGUACUAGUGUACGGAUUUGGAAAUGCUACUCAAACUAAUGAUGUUGUAGUAGGUGUUUGUCAUAUCGCCUCUUUCAUUUUAAUCUAUGUAUUUGUUAUAUGCUUAUGGAAGAUUUAGUGAUAUUACUAUAUAUACA